This is a long non-coding RNA of Oncorhynchus keta (chum salmon), 1362 nucleotides long. RefSeq lists it as uncharacterized. The transcript is spliced from 8 exons. The record is from RefSeq and is a predicted model, not a curated record. NCBI's taxonomy places the organism in Eukaryota, Metazoa, Chordata, Actinopteri, Salmoniformes, Salmonidae.
CAGGCCAGAUUUCCAGGCAGGUGAGAGAGUGAGAUGUUUGUAUGUGUGUAGUCAGGCCAGAUUUCUAGGCAGGUGAGAGAGUGAGAUGUUUGUAUGUGUGUAGUCAGGCCAGAUUUCUAGGCAGGUGAGAGAGUGAGAUGUUUGUAUGUUUGUAGUCAGGCCAGAUUUCUAGGCAGGUGACAGAGUGAGAUGUUUGUACGUGUGUAGUCAGGCCAGAUUUCUAGGCAGGUGACAGAGUGAGAUGUUUGUAUGUGUGUAGUCAGGCCAGAUUUCUAGGCAGGUGACAGAGUGAGAUGUUUGUAUGUGUGUAGUCAGGCCAGAUUUCUAGGCAGGUGACAGAGUGAGAUGUUUGUAUGUGUGUAGUCAGGCCAGAUUUCUAGGCAGGUGACAGAGUGAGAUGUUUGUAUGUUUGUAGUCAGGCCAGAUUUCCAGGCAGGUGAGAGAGUGAGAUGUUUGUAUGUGUGUAGUCAGGCCAGAUUUCUAGGCAGGUGAGAGAGUGAGAUGUUUGUAUGUUUGUAGUCAGGCCAGAUUUCUAGGCAGGUGAGAGAGUGAGAUGUUUGUAUGUGUGUAGUCAGGCCAGAUUUCUAGGCAGGUGAGAGAGUGAGAUGUUUGUAUGUUUGUAGUCAGGCCAGAUUUCCAGGCAGGUGAGAGAGUGAGAUGUUUGUAUGUGUGUAGUCAGGCCAGAUUUCUAGGCAGGUGAGAGAGUGAGAUGUUUGUAUGUUUGUAGUCAGGCCAGAUUUCUAGGCAGGUGAGAGAGUGAGAUGUUUGUAUGUGUGUAGUCAGGCCAGAUUUCCAGGCAGGUGAGAGAGUGAGAUGUUUGUAUGUGUGUAGUCAGGCCAGAUUUCUAGGCAGGUGAAAGAGUGAGAUCUUCUAAACAGACAGGCUGCCAUGUUGCUGAUGGUAGUGAGCUUGGUGUGAUCAGUAUUGUAAUGCCUUUUAGUUCUGACUGCAGUGACUAAUUUCUCACAACGUAUGACUGUUAAUACUCCUCUCUCUCUCCCCCCACUCUCCUCUCUUCUCUCUCUCUCUCUCCUCUCGUUCUCUCUCUCUCUCUCUCCUCUCGUUCUCUCUCUCCUCUCGUUCUCUCUCUCCUCUCGUUCUCUCUCUCCUCUCGUUCUCUCUCUCCUCUCGUUCUCUCUCUCCUCUCGUUCUCUCUCUCCUCUCGUUCUCUCUCUCCUCUCGUUCUCUCUCUCCUCUCGUUCUCUCUCUCCUCUCGUUCUCUCUCUCCUCUCGUUCUCUCUCUCCUCUCGUUCUCUCUCUCCUCUCGUUCUCUCUCUCCUCUCGUUCUCUCUCCUCUCGUUCUCUCUCCUCUCGUUCUCUCUCCUCUCGUUCUCUCUCCUCUCGUUCUCUCUCCUCUCGUUC